CCUACGGGAGGCAGCAGUGGGGAAUAUUGCACAAUGGGCGCAAGCCUGAUGCAGCCAUGCCGCGUGUGUGAAGAAGGCCUUCGGGUUGUAAAGCACUUUCAGCGGGGAGGAAGGCGGUGAGGUUAAUAACCUCAUCGAUUGACGUUACCCGCAGAAGAAGCACCGGCUAACUCCGUGCCAGCAGCCGCGGUAAUACGGAGGGUGCAAGCGUUAAUCGGAAUUACUGGGCGUAAAGCGCACGCAGGCGGUCUGUCAAGUCGGAUGUGAAAUCCCCGGGCUCAACCUGGGAACUGCAUUCGAAACUGGCAGGCUAGAGUCUUGUAGAGGGGGGUAGAAUUCCAGGUGUAGCGGUGAAAUGCGUAGAGACCUGGAGGAAUACCGGUGGCGAAGGCGGCCCCCUGGACAAAGACUGACGCUCAGGUGCGAAAGCGUGGGGAGCAAACAGGAUUAGAUACCCUAGUAGUC
RNAcentral lists this ribosomal RNA (465 nucleotides) under uncultured Klebsiella sp. RNAcentral's name for it is "bacterial SSU rRNA". It matches the Rfam family "Bacterial small subunit ribosomal RNA", at positions 338 to 795 of the family's 1533-position model. Lineage: Bacteria; Pseudomonadati; Pseudomonadota; Gammaproteobacteria; Enterobacterales; Enterobacteriaceae. The record is from RNAcentral.